CACUGCAGCCUGGGCUCUGGU
RNAcentral lists this microRNA (21 nucleotides) under Canis lupus familiaris (dog). Its description in RNAcentral is "cfa-miR-8893". The record is from miRBase by way of RNAcentral. Lineage: Eukaryota; Metazoa; Chordata; Mammalia; Carnivora; Canidae.